GACGAACGCUGGCGGCGUGCUUAACACAUGCAAGUCGAACGCUGAAGCUCAGCUUUUGUUGGGUGGAUGAGCGGCGAACGGGUGAGUAACACGUGAGUAACCUGCCCCCUUCUUUGGGAUAACGCCCGGAAACGGGUGCUAAUACUGGAUAUUCACUGGUCUUCGCAUGGGGGUUGGUGGAAAGGGUUUUUCUGGUGGGGGAUGGGCUCGCGGCCUAUCAGCUUGUUGGUGGGGUGAUGGCCUACCAAGGCUUUGACGGGUAGCCGGCCUGAGAGGGUGACCGGUCACAUUGGGACUGAGAUACGGCCCAGACUCCUACGGGAGGCAGCAGUGGGGAAUAUUGCACAAUGGGCGCAAGCCUGAUGCAGCGACGCCGCGUGAGGGAUGGAGGCCUUCGGGUUGUGAACCUCUUUCGCUCAUGGUCAAGCCGCAACAAUGGUUGUGGUGAGGGUAGUGGGUAAAGAAGCGCCGGCUAACUACGUG
This 483-nucleotide ribosomal RNA is filed under the name uncultured bacterium. RNAcentral describes it as "partial 16S ribosomal RNA". It matches the Rfam family "Bacterial small subunit ribosomal RNA", at positions 28 to 507 of the family's 1533-position model. The record is from RNAcentral.